CAGCAGCCGCGGUAAUACGGGGGGGGCAAGCGUUGUUCGGAAUUACUGGGCGUAAAGGGYGCGUAGGCGGCUUUCUAAGUUGGAUGUGAAAACUCUGGGCUCAACCCAGAGCCUGCAUCCAAAACUGGAGAGCUUGGGUUCUGGAGGGGAAAGCGGAAUUCCUGGUGUAGCGGUGAAAUGCGUAGAUAUCAGGAGGAACACCGGUGGCGAAGGCGGCUUUCUGGACAGAUACCGACGCUGAGGCACGAAAGCUAGGGGAGCAAACAGGAUUAGAUACCCUGGUAGUCCUGGCCCUAAACGAUGAAUGCUUGGUGUGGCGGGUAUCGAUCCCUGCCGUGCCGAAGCUAACGCAUUAAGCAUUCCGCCUGGGGAGUACGGUCGUAAGGCUGAAACUCAAAGGAAUUGACGG
Molecule: ribosomal RNA, 409 nt
Filed under: uncultured bacterium
Lineage: Bacteria
Description: bacterial SSU rRNA
Rfam family: Bacterial small subunit ribosomal RNA
Source: RNAcentral